Molecule: long non-coding RNA, 1524 nt
Organism: Alnus glutinosa
Lineage: Eukaryota; Viridiplantae; Streptophyta; Magnoliopsida; Fagales; Betulaceae
Exons: 3
Source: RefSeq, a predicted model, not a curated record
UAACAACCUAGGCACUCUAUUCUAUCAUUAACCCUAACUAUCCAUUUUUUGUCAACCGUUGGUAUCGGGAUCGAGCGUUCGACCAACAAUGGUCGAAAAGUCCGGUCAAACACAAUGAUCGUUCGAUGGGUACCAAAAUGCAUCAAAAACUCAAAACCCCUACCCAAAUCACUUUCACUGUCAAACUGGAUAAUAAUUGCAUUUCUUGUUUGGUGAAUUUAGAUUUUCUUCCUUGCUUGUGGAUAUUCUCUUGUAUAUACGCUUCUUUUACACCCUUGGGUCGUUUUGCUUUUUGGUCUUCUUUGACUGAUAUAGGCAAUUCCUUUAAUGGUGCUUGUCUUUUGAUGAGGGAUUUUAAUUAUGUUUUAUCCCAUGCGGAGAAGAGAGGUGUUAGGAAUUUUGGAACCUCUUCCCAUAAUGAUUUUGUGGAUUUUGUUCAGUCUAAUGCUUUGUUAGAUUUGGGUUUUGUUGUUAACAAGUUUACUUGGAGCAAUCACUGUUCGGGUUGGGCAAAUAUUCGAGAGAGACUUGAUAGAGGUACUUAUCAAAAUAUCCCUAAGCCCUUUCGGUUUGAAGUUUUUUGGACCCGAGAUCAGUCUCGUCAUUCAGUGGUAGCAAAGGCUUUGUUGCCUCUGGUUGAGGGUUCUCCAGCUUUUUCUUUGAGCAAGAAGUGGAAGAACACCAAGAACGCUUUGAAAUCUUGAAAUCAGAUUCAUUUUGGUAACAGUCAAGCCAAAAUUAAAUCUUUGAUAGCUGAUAUCAGUGAUAUUCAAUCUUAUCCUCAUUCUUCAGUUAAUGCUUCUAGAAAGGUUGUCCUUCAGGUGGCCUUACAAGAGCAGCUUCUGCGAGAGGAAGUUUUGUGGAAGCAGAAAUCUAGAGAAUUAUGGCUCACAUGUAUUGAUCUCAAUACUAAAUUUUCCCAUGCUUCUACUGCUUGAAGUCGCUGGCACACACAAACAUGAAGAAAGUGCUCAGGGUUGACUAAGUUGUUCACCACCCAAGAGAAAGGUAUUUCCAAUUUGGGUUGAAUCCCUUGGAUGCGGACAAGCUUCACUUCAGCAUCACCAGAAGGGUAGCAAGACUCAACAUGUUCACUCAAAUUUUCUGGAGGAACUUUCUGUUCAUCCUUAUCUUCUUCUCUGGAUGAUUCCUCAUUAUUUAAGGAUUUGUAUGGAAAAUAUUCUGGUAGAAGACUUUUUACAGCAUCAUGUAAUGUGAAGCAAUUACCUGCAGUACAAGAAAUAUAAGAAGCUAUGAAUAGUCCUGAAGCUGCUGAAACAGUUUGGCAGUCAUGCUCCCCAUGAUCAACGUCACAAUUAGCAGACAGAGUAUAAAGACCAACAUAAAUAGAGGAAACUCAUCUUACACAAACGCACAUGCAACUGGUCCAUAUGACAGCUAACGAUAUGAAAACCAAGAUGAGUCAAAAAAUACCUCUCUCUCUCUCUCUCUCUCUCUCUCUCUCACACACACACACACACACACACACACACACACACACACACACACACACACACAUCUCAA